This 406-nucleotide ribosomal RNA is filed under the name uncultured bacterium. RNAcentral describes it as "partial 16S ribosomal RNA". It matches the Rfam family "Bacterial small subunit ribosomal RNA", at positions 29 to 526 of the family's 1533-position model. The record is from RNAcentral.
AUUGAACGCUGGCGGCAGGCUUAACACAUGCAAGUCGAACGAGCGGCGGACGGGUGAGUAAUGUCUGGGAAACUGCCUGAUGGAGGGGGAUAACUACGGGAAACGGUAGCUAAUACCGCAUACCAUAGGAUGUGCCCAGGUGGGAUUAGGUAGUUGGUGGGGUAAGGGCUCACCAAGGCGACGAUCCCUAGCUGGUCUGAGAGGAUGACCAGCCACACUGGAACUGAGACACGGCCCAGACGCCUACGUGAGGCAGCAGUGGGGAAUAUUGCGCAAUGGGCGCAAGCCUGAUGCAGCCAUGCCGCGUGAGUGAAGAAGGCCUUCGGGUUGUAAAGCACUUUCAGUGGUGAGGCGGUAACUACAGAAGAAGCACCGGCUAACUCCGUGCCAGCAGCCGCGGUAAUAC